RNAcentral lists this ribosomal RNA (207 nucleotides) under uncultured bacterium. RNAcentral's name for it is "partial 16S ribosomal RNA". It matches the Rfam family "Bacterial small subunit ribosomal RNA", at positions 568 to 774 of the family's 1533-position model. The record is from RNAcentral.
CACGUAGGCGGAUUGGUCAGUUAGGGGUGAAAUCCCAGAGCUCAACUCUGGAACUGCCUUUAAUACUGCCAGUCUUGAGUCCGAGAGAGGUGAGUGGAACUCCGAGUGUAGAGGUGGAAUUCGUAGAUAUUCGGAAGAACACCAGUGGCGAAGGCGGCUCACUGGCUCGGUACUGACGCUGAGGUGCGAAAGCGUGGGGAACAAACA